RNAcentral lists this ribosomal RNA (337 nucleotides) under Shigella flexneri. RNAcentral describes it as "partial 23S ribosomal RNA". It matches the Rfam family "Bacterial large subunit ribosomal RNA", at positions 336 to 674 of the family's 2925-position model. Lineage: Bacteria; Pseudomonadati; Pseudomonadota; Gammaproteobacteria; Enterobacterales; Enterobacteriaceae. The record is from RNAcentral.
AAGAGGUCUGGAAAGGCCCGCUAUAAGAGGUAAAAGCCCUGUAGCCGAAAGUAUAUUCCCUCCGAGACGGAUCCCGAGUAGUGCGGGGCACGUGAAACCCCGUAUGAAUCCAGCAGGACCAUCUGCUAAGGCUAAAUACUCCCUAGCGACCGAUAGUGAAACAGUACCGUGAGGGAAAGGUGAAAAGCACCCCGGAAGGGGAGUGAAAUAGAUCCUGAAACCGUGUGCUUACAAGAAGUCAGAGCCCGAUCUAUGGGUGAUGGCGUGCCUUUUGUAGAAUGAACCGGCGAGUUACGUUCCCAUGCAAGGUUAAGGCGAGAAGCCGUAGCCGCAGCGA